RNAcentral lists this small nuclear RNA (83 nucleotides) under Fukomys damarensis (Damara mole-rat). RNAcentral's name for it is "U4 spliceosomal RNA (ENSFDAG00000003261.1)". The record is from RNAcentral. Lineage: Eukaryota; Metazoa; Chordata; Mammalia; Rodentia; Bathyergidae.
AGCUUUGCACAGUGGCAGUAUCGUAGCCAAUGAGGUUUAUCGGAGGCGCAAUUAUUACUAAUAGAGUUUGGAUUUUCUAUGGG